Molecule: unclassified non-coding RNA, 164 nt
Filed under: Circinotrichum maculiforme
Lineage: Eukaryota; Fungi; Ascomycota; Sordariomycetes; Xylariales; Coniocessiaceae
Description: partial internal transcribed spacer 2
Source: RNAcentral
CGACCCUUAAGCCUCAGUUGCUUAGUGUUGGGGGCUCGCCGUAAUUGGCGACCCCUUAAAGACAUCGGCGGAGUCGAGAUGGAACUCUGAGCGUAGUAAAUCUUUUCUCGCUUUUGAAGUCCUCACGGCCCUAGCCGCUAAACCUUAUGACCUAGUCAUCUAGU